CCUACGGGAGGCAGCAGUGAGGAAUAUUGGUCAAUGGGCGCGAGCCUGAACCAGCCAAGUCGCGUGAGGGAAGACGGUCCUAUGGAUUGUAAACCUCUUUUGUCGGGGAGCAAAAGACGCCACGCGUGGCGUUCCGAGAGUACCCGAAGAAAAAGCAUCGGCUAACUCCGUGCCAGCAGCCGCGGUAAUACGGAGGAUCCGAGCGUUAUCCGGUUUUUUGGGGUUAAAGGGAGGGUAGAUGGGGUGUUAAAGCAGGUGUGAAAGUUUUGGGGUCAAACUUAAAAUUGCAGUUGAUACUGGCAGCCUUGAGUACAGUUGAGGUAGGCGGAAUUCGUGGUGUAGCGGUGAAAUGCUUAGAUAUCACGAAGAACUCCGAUUGCGAAGGCAGCCUACUAAACUGCCACUGACAUUGAUGCUCGAAAGUGUGGGUAUCAAACAGGAUUAGAUACCCGUGUAGUC
Molecule: ribosomal RNA, 459 nt
Filed under: uncultured bacterium
Lineage: Bacteria
Description: partial 16S ribosomal RNA
Rfam family: Bacterial small subunit ribosomal RNA
Source: RNAcentral